This 406-nucleotide ribosomal RNA is filed under the name uncultured bacterium. Its description in RNAcentral is "partial 16S ribosomal RNA". It matches the Rfam family "Bacterial small subunit ribosomal RNA", at positions 28 to 526 of the family's 1533-position model. The record is from RNAcentral.
GACGAACGCUGGCGGCGUGCUUAACACAUGCAAGUCGAACGAGUGGCGAACGGGUGAGUAACACGUGGGGAUCUGCCUGAUGGCGGGGGAUAACUACUGGAAACGGUAGCUAAUACCGCAUACCAUCAGAUGAACCCAUAUGGGAUUAGCUAAUAGGUAAGGUAACGGCUUACCUAGGCGACGAUCCCUAGCUGGUCUGAGAGGAUGAUCAGCCACACUGGGACUGAGACACGGCCCAGACUCCUACGGGAGGCAGCAGUGGGGAAUAUUGCACAAUGGGCGCAAGCCUGAUACAGCCAUGCCGCGUGUAUGAAGAAGGCCUUCGGGUUGUAAAGUACUUUCAGUCGGGAGGCGUUACCGACAGAAGAAGCACCGGCUAACUCCGUGCCAGCCGCCGCGGUAAUUC